GUGGCUCAGUGGUAGAGCGCUUGUCUUGCAUGCAUGAGGCCCUGGGUUCAAUUCCUCAGC
Molecule: non-coding RNA, 60 nt
Organism: Dipodomys ordii (Ord's kangaroo rat)
Lineage: Eukaryota; Metazoa; Chordata; Mammalia; Rodentia; Heteromyidae
Source: Rfam